UGGGGAAUAUUGCACAAUGGGCGCAAGCCUGAUGCAGCAACGCCGCGUGAGGGAUGACGGCCUUCGGGUUGUAAACCUCUUUUAGCAGGGAAGAAGCGAAAGUGACGGUACCUGCAGAAAAAGCACCGGCUAACUACGUGCCAGCAGCCGCGGUAAUACGUAGGGUGCAAGCGUUGUCCGGAAUUAUUGGGCGUAAAGAGCUCGUAGGCGGUCUGUCGCGUCUGCUGUGAAAUCCCGAGGCUCAACCUCGGGCCUGCAGUGGGUACGGGCAGACUAGAGUGCGGUAGGGGAGAAUGGAACUCCUGGUGUAGCGGUGGGAUGCGCAGAUAUCAGGAAGAACACCGAUGGCGAAGGCAGUUCUCUGGGCCGUAACUGACGCUGAGGAGCGAAAGCGUGGGGAGCGAACAGGAUUAGAUACCCUGGUAGUCCACGCCGUAAACGUUGGGCGCUAGAUGUGGGGACCAUUCCACGGUUUCCGUGUCGCAGCUAACGCAUU
Molecule: ribosomal RNA, 496 nt
Filed under: uncultured bacterium
Lineage: Bacteria
Description: partial 16S ribosomal RNA
Rfam family: Bacterial small subunit ribosomal RNA
Source: RNAcentral